GGCGGGCUUGUUUACGGCCCGACUGCGCAGGCGUGCUCACCUGGCGCGCUCCACGCGGCGGGGCGUCCGCAGGCUCCUCCCCCUGCCGGGCGCGGCCUCGGCGCGACCCCAGAGACUCGCAGGUGUUGUGGUGCGAGACGGAUUGCCGGGGAGAGGACGUACAGAUACGUAGCAUCUGUGUUUGCUAGUCAAAUAUCUGCAUACCUAUAUGCGGUAUUUCGCGUCCACUAGGUUGUCUCCUUACCAUAUCUGAAUUUUGAUGUGAUGAACAAUUCAGAAAGAAUCUAUAAAAUUAACCUGAAAUGAAGACAUACAAAUGACAACUCAAAUGUGUUUCAGCUGCUGUGAUGCAUUGCAUCUCAUUAUUGUAAUCAAGUUGUUUGUGCACUUCAUACAUCGGUGUAUACGUCUGUGCUCAUCGAUGGAAAUGUGCGGGAGCCUUAACUCAGGAACACUUUUUUCUGUGGCUGUUUUGCUGCCUCGGGGACAGUUUUGCCAACCGGACUUCAUCAGGAUAAGGUGCAUCAGAUAUGCAAAUUUGCACUCCAACAGACUGGGGUGAGGGCUUCCCAGGUGGCCCUAGUGGUAAAGAAUCCACCUGCCAAUGCAGGAGACAUGAGAUGCAAGUUCGAUCCCCGGUUUGGGAAGAUCCCCUGGAGAAGGAAAUGGCAACCCACUCCAGUAUUCUUACCUGGAGAAUCCCAUGGACAGAGGAGCUUGGUUAGCUACAGUCCAUGGGGUCGAAAAGAGUCAGACAGGACUGGAGCAACUUAGCAGGGCAGAGCACACUGGGAUGUAGAAAACACACGUUACCAGUCCACAUGGGUGGACUUGGCUAUUUGUCAUAUUGCUGCCGGUACUUGGCGAGGACACAGGAAUUCUGAUCAAGUUUAUUUCAUGUAUUUCUUAUCAAAAUGGAAAAAAAAAUGUGUGAUGUGUUUGUAAUUGUUUUCACUGCUUGCCAGAGUAUAUCCCUACCAGAGGAGACUUCUGUUCUGACAAAGUAUUGAUGAGAACUGAAUCCUCCUUUGACAUCUGGUAACUGGAAGAAUUUUCACCAGCAAACUCCUGGUUUUGUGUAUUUCUGACACGUCGUGUUUCUCCCCACGUCACACGUGCUUCCGUUGCCAGGCACAGUAGGACCCGUGGGAACUGCUGGUCCUAAACCCUUGACUCACUGGGUCUGAACCCCAGACUGCACAGAGAAGUGACCCAACCGCAUCCACACCACCCAGGAACCCAAACCAAGGGGACGCUCAGACGCGGGGCAGAGGGCGACAGCGGAAACGGAGGAGAAAGGGGUCGGGACCAUUCGUGUUGAUGUGGUUUGAAUGUUCAAAACCUACCAAAACGUGAGCACAUCACUAGGCCCAUCCAAGGGAGCCCUUGCAAGCGAGGGACCUCUGUGGUGGGCCCACCUCUGCUUUAACUUCUGCCCCGUGAAUGGCAGCUGUUCUUGAAAACGCGCCAGACCCCACUGACUCCCAAUCAGGAACCCACUCCCACAUCUAGACCAGGAGACUCCUCUUCCUACCGCCUCCCUUCUCUCCACUCUGCUCCGCCUCCUUUCCCACAGGCGCCACCAGCUCCUUCCGCAAGC
Long non-coding RNA from Bos taurus (domestic cattle), 1600 nucleotides. The record is from Ensembl. Lineage: Eukaryota; Metazoa; Chordata; Mammalia; Artiodactyla; Bovidae.